ACGGUUACCUUGUUACGACUUAGCCCCAGUCACCGGUUUUACCUUAGGGCGCUGCUUACGCUCACGCACUUCAGGCACUCCCGGCUUCCAUGGCUUGACGGGCGGUGUGUACAAGGCCCGGGAACGUAUUCACCGCGCCAUGGCUGAUGCGCGAUUACUAGCGAAUCCAGCUUCAUGGAGUCGAGUUGCAGACUCCAAUCCGAACUGAGACAGGUUUUCGGGUUCUGCUCUGUGUCGCCACAUGGCCUCCCGCUGUACCUGCCAUUGUAACACGUGUGUCGCCCCGGACGUAAGGGCCGUGCUGAUUUGACGUCAUCCCCGCCUUCCUCACAGCUUGCGCCGGCAGUCUCGACAGAGUCCUCAACGCUACUUGUUAGCAACUGUCGAUAGGGGUUGCGCUCGUUAUGGCACUUAAGCCGACACCUCACGGCACGAGCUGACGACAACCAUGCAGCACCUCGUAGACGGCCCCGAAGGGCUACAGUCUUUCAACCGUAUUCCAUCUACGUUUGAGCCCGGGUAAGGUUCCUCGCGUAUCAUCGAAUUAAACCACAUGUUCCUCCGCUUGUGCGGGCCCCCGUCAAUUCCUUUGAGUUUCACCGUUGCCGGCGUACUCC
RNAcentral lists this ribosomal RNA (617 nucleotides) under uncultured bacterium. RNAcentral's name for it is "partial 16S ribosomal RNA". The record is from RNAcentral.